Pseudophryne corroboree (corroboree frog) is the source of this 311-nucleotide long non-coding RNA. RefSeq lists it as uncharacterized. The transcript is spliced from 3 exons. The record is from RefSeq and is a predicted model, not a curated record. Lineage: Eukaryota; Metazoa; Chordata; Amphibia; Anura; Myobatrachidae.
UAUUUGUCCAUUUGUUAUCUGGACUCUGUGUGACUGGGAGCUUCAUAAUAUUGAACUGCUUUCCCAGUCAUUUUGGUCCUUUGCCUGCUUUUAUAUUCAAUGAGCUUUUUACACAAUUUUGGGAUUAUCUGUAAAAAACAUCUGGCACUCGAUAUUACCCCUGAGGAAGUCCCAGUUAGGGACGAAACGCGUUGGGUUGUGUUCGAGUACUGUAUUCCAUCUGUAUUCUAUACUACUAAGGAAGAUUUACCACGAAUCUCAAGUUUCACUUGAAUUUUCCAUCUGACAGAAACUGUUUGUAUACAUUGUCU